Molecule: ribosomal RNA, 442 nt
Filed under: uncultured Alphaproteobacteria bacterium
Lineage: Bacteria; Pseudomonadati; Pseudomonadota; Alphaproteobacteria
Description: bacterial SSU rRNA
Rfam family: Bacterial small subunit ribosomal RNA
Source: RNAcentral
AGUGAACGCUGGCGGCAGGCCUAACACAUGCAAGUCGAACGAGAAAGCUUCUUCGGAAGUGAUUAAAGUGGCAAACGGGUGCGUAACACGUGGGAAUCUACCUUAAAGUUCAGAACAACCAUUGGAAACGAUGGCUAAUACUGGAUGUGCUCUACGGAGGAAAGAUUUAUCGCUUUAAGAUGAGCCCGCGUCAGAUUAGCUUGUUGGUAGGGUAAUGGCCUACCAAGGCUACGAUCUGUAGCUGGUCUGAGAGGAUGAUCAGCCACACUGGAACUGCGACACGGUCCAGACUCCUACGGGAGGCAGCAGUGAGGAAUAUUGCACAAUGGGCGAAAGCCUGAUGCAGCCAUGCCGCGUGAAUGAUGAAGGCCUUAGGGUUGUAAAGUUCUUUCAACGGGGAAGAUAAUGACGGUACCCGUACAAGAAGCACCGGCUAAUUCCG